UUUAAAUUCGGUCAACUUGUACUUCAUUAUGCUCUAUGUGGUGAGGUGCUUAUUUAAUUCCCACAAGGGUGGGGCAUGCCCUGUCUGGCUUAUUAAAAACAAAAUGCUCGUGAUUUUCUAGUCUAUGAAUUCUGGUAUUUUGCUCCUAUUAAGGUCUAUGAAUCUUGAUAUUGAAGUAUUUUUGUACAGAGAAAUUUACAAAUAUAUCUCCUACGUAUGCUCUUUUGUUAUGGGAUUAUGUGACUAUUUAUCUUUCGUUAUAUGGAGGUCAUAUUUUGUUCCUAACUAUUGGAUACUAGUCAAUGACACUUUAUGACUUUUUUACAACUCUAUGAAAAUCUUAUG
Molecule: long non-coding RNA, 345 nt
Filed under: Amborella trichopoda
Lineage: Eukaryota; Viridiplantae; Streptophyta; Magnoliopsida; Amborellales; Amborellaceae
Description: long non-coding RNA (ATRI_LNC000421)
Source: RNAcentral